RNAcentral lists this ribosomal RNA (430 nucleotides) under bacterium. RNAcentral describes it as "partial 16S ribosomal RNA". It matches the Rfam family "Bacterial small subunit ribosomal RNA", at positions 355 to 776 of the family's 1533-position model. The record is from RNAcentral.
UGGGGAAUAUUGGACAAUGGGCGGAAGCCUGAUCCAGCCAUGCCGCGUGUGUGAAGAAGGCCUUUUGGUUGUAAAGCACUUUAAGCGAGGAGGAGGCUACUUGGAUUAAUACUCUAGGAUAGUGGACGUUACUCGCAGAAUAAGCACCGGCUAACUCUGUGCCAGUAGCCGCGGUAAUACAGAGGGUGCGAGCGUUAAUCGGAUUUACUGGGCGUAAAGCGUGCGUAGGCGGCUUCUUAAGUCGGAUGUGAAAUCCCUGAGCUUAACUUAGGAAUUGCAUUCGAUACUGGGAAGCUAGAGUAUGGGAGAGGAUGGUAGAAUUCCAGGUGUAGCGGUGAAAUGCGUAGAGAUCUGGAGGAAUACCGAUGGCGAAGGCAGCCAUCUGGCCUAAUACUGACGCUGAGGUACGAAAGCAUGGGGAGCAAACAGG